CCUAAAGGCGUAAUGAAAGUAAAGAUCGUCCUUGCGUCGAUUGAGGGAGGAUGGGCUGUGUUAAGAUACAGCUCCGCACUCCCGGGGCGUCUCAUUCUCAUUACGAGAAGAGGCGCACCUAGAGCGUACACGUUGGGACCCGAAAGAUGGUGAACUAUGCCUGGUCAGGACGAAGUCAGGGGAAACCCUGAUGGAGGUCCGUAGCGAUUCUGACGUGCAAAUCGAUCGUCGGAACUGGGUAUAGGGGCGAAAGACUAAUCGAACCAUCUAGUAGCUGGUUCCAUCCGAAGUUUCCCUCAGGAUAGCUGGCACUCGCGUUAUACGAGUCUCAUCUGGUAAAGCGAAUGAUUAGAGGCCUUGGGGCCGAAACGACCUCAACCUAUUCUCAAACUUUAAAUGGGUGAGAUCUCUGGCUUGCUUGAAUAUAUGAAGCCAUGAGAUUUUUCGGAUCAGAGUGCCAAGUGG
This 465-nucleotide ribosomal RNA is filed under the name Dolopsidea sp. BJS-2011. Its description in RNAcentral is "eukaryotic LSU rRNA". It matches the Rfam family "Eukaryotic large subunit ribosomal RNA", at positions 707 to 1129 of the family's 3401-position model. Lineage: Eukaryota; Metazoa; Arthropoda; Insecta; Hymenoptera; Braconidae. The record is from RNAcentral.